GGAAGCAAGAUGAAGUAGUUAAACCAAAUAACCAUGCCUACAAGAAAAGCUAGGCAUGGGAAUGGACUGGGCCUGGAAGUACAGAUCAGUACAGAUCUCUUUCAGAGACAAAGCAAAGAUACAAGACAGCAAAAAAAGGUCUGACCAUCUCAGCACGCAGUAUGAUAGACUGCGCCUUCAACUGACAUUUUCAUUAUUGCCAAAGCUGCUAGCAACAUGCCAUCUUGCCUUCUCAGGAUUGUGAUUCCACUAGCAUCUGUUGUGCCUCCUUCUCCGACUUGUUGCAACAUAUGUAGCUUCCUUGCAAGAAGCAGCCAAGUCAUCCGCCAAGACUUGGUAGACUAACUGAUCAGUGCUCCCCGUAGAACUUGGCCACAGCUGCACUGAAUGUACUGGACACCCAGCUAUAAGGAUGUGACAGAGAUAUUCAAAAUAAGGAGUGGUCUACAGGAUAUUAGCGGGGUGAUGUCUUUUUUUUUCCUUCCACAAAAUGACAUUAAAAAGCAGUUAAUUUAUUAAAGGAUUAAAAGAACUAUUGUC
Non-coding RNA from Pelodiscus sinensis (Chinese soft-shelled turtle), 540 nucleotides. The record is from RefSeq and is a predicted model, not a curated record. Lineage: Eukaryota; Metazoa; Chordata; Testudines; Trionychidae.